UACGGGAGGCAGCAGUUAGGAAUAUUCGUCAAUGGGGGAAACCCUGAACGAGCAAUGCCGCGUGAGUGAUGACGGCCCUCUGGGUUGUAAAACUCUGUUGUUUGGAAAGAAUUGUUAGAGAAGGAAAUGUCUUUAACUUGACGGUACCAUUCAAGAAAGCCACGGCUAACUACGUGCCAGCAGCCGCGGUAAU
Molecule: ribosomal RNA, 193 nt
Filed under: uncultured rumen bacterium
Lineage: Bacteria
Description: partial 16S ribosomal RNA
Rfam family: Bacterial small subunit ribosomal RNA
Source: RNAcentral